RNAcentral lists this microRNA precursor (84 nucleotides) under Bombyx mori (domestic silkworm). RNAcentral's name for it is "mir-2807 microRNA precursor family". It matches the Rfam family "mir-2807 microRNA precursor family". Lineage: Eukaryota; Metazoa; Arthropoda; Insecta; Lepidoptera; Bombycidae. The record is from Rfam by way of RNAcentral.
UUAAAUCAAAUUUGUAUGGAUUUGGAACGUUUGCCUACGUUUGCCGCUAGGGGCGCUGUUCCAACUGAAUUCAAAUUCGAGUUA